RNAcentral lists this ribosomal RNA (530 nucleotides) under Spinotectarchus acornutus. RNAcentral's name for it is "partial large subunit ribosomal RNA". It matches the Rfam family "Bacterial large subunit ribosomal RNA", at positions 1813 to 2614 of the family's 2925-position model. The record is from RNAcentral. Lineage: Eukaryota; Metazoa; Arthropoda; Insecta; Phasmatodea; Diapheromeridae.
ACAUCUUCUCUUGAUUUUAUAAUAUGAGAUUUGACCUGCCCUAUGAUUUAUUUAAUGGCCGCGGUAUUUUGACCGUGCAAAGGUAGCAUAAUCAUUAGUCUAUUAAUUGUGGACUUGUAUGAAUGGUUGGACGAAAUAUUGACUGUCUCAUUGUUAAUUUAUUUUGAAAUUAAAUUUUUAGUUAAAAUGCUUAAAUUUUUUUAUAGGACGAGAAGACCCUAUAGAUCUUUAUUUGUUUAUUUGUUGAUUUAUUUUAGAUUAUUUAUUUUUAAUAAUUUUUCAUUUUUUGUUGGGGUGACAUGGAGAUAUAUUAAACUCUUUAUUUUAUUAUACAUUUAUUUUUGUUUUAUUGACCUUGUAAUAUUGUUUUAAGAUAUAGAUACCUUAGGGAUAACAGCGUAAUUCUUUUUGAGAGCUCAAAUCGACAGAAGAGAUUGCGACCUCGAUGUUGGAUUAAGAUUAUAAUUAGGUGUAGAUGUUUAAUUAUUGGGUCUGUUCGACCUUUAAAUUCUUACAUGAUCUGAGUUAAA